GAGAUAACUCCUACGGGAGGCAGCAGUGGGGAAUUUUGGACAAUGGGAGCAACCCUGAUCCAGCAAUGCCGCGUGAGUGAAGAAGGCCUUCGGGUUGUAAAGCUCUUUUGUCAGGGAAGAAACGGUAGUAGCUAAUAUCUAUUACUAAUGACGGUACCUGAAGAAUAAGCACCGGCAACUACGUGCCAGCAGCCGCGGUAAUACGUAGGGCGCAAGCGUUAAUCGGAAUUACUGGGCGUAAAGCGUGCGCAGGCGGUUGUGUAAGUCAGAUGUGAAAUCCCCGGGCUCAACCUGGGAAUUGCAUUUUAGACUGCACGGCUAGAGUGUGUAAGAGGGGAGUAGAAUUCCAAGUGUAGCAGUGCAAUGCGUAGAUAUGUGGAGGAAUACCGAUGGCGAAGGCAGCCCACUGGGAUAACACUGACGCUCAUGCACGAAAGCGUGGGGAGCAAACAGGAUUAGAAACCCUUGUAGUCCUCCACU
RNAcentral lists this ribosomal RNA (480 nucleotides) under uncultured bacterium. RNAcentral's name for it is "bacterial SSU rRNA". It matches the Rfam family "Bacterial small subunit ribosomal RNA", at positions 329 to 803 of the family's 1533-position model. The record is from RNAcentral.